CGGUUGGGGUUAGGAGGGAGAGGAUAUAGAAUUGGAUGUCCUCGGGGAAAUCAACAAAGGAAUAUGAAUUCAUUUCUGCCAUCUGAAAAGUCCACUGAUUUUCUGGAAAAUGCUGUUUGUUUGAAGGAAGAGAGAGAGAGAAAGAGAGAGAAUGUUUGAAGCCUGUGAAAAUCAAGUGAGGAAUAAAACGAAACAAGGGAAAAUUUGAAUAAUGGUAGAUUCUUGGAGAAGAGGGAAUUAUUCUGUUCAGCUAAGCGAACCUAUAGAGAAGGAAGAAAUCAGAAAUCUGAGAGAUUAAGCCGUACAAGCUUCCAAGUCAGGACUGGG
This 327-nucleotide unclassified non-coding RNA is filed under the name Hevea brasiliensis (rubber tree). Lineage: Eukaryota; Viridiplantae; Streptophyta; Magnoliopsida; Malpighiales; Euphorbiaceae. The record is from RNAcentral.